AGAGGCGGAUGAAACCACGGGAAAGGACUCGGGGCUGAAAUCAACACACUUGACUGGGUUUGGGGAGCUAAGUCAAUCAGCAGUCGCCCGAAAAAGAACUCCGAAAAAGGAAAAUAAAAGGGGAAAAAAAGAGUUCCUCAGGUCAUUCCCCUGCCCAACUUCCUCAGCGGCCCGGUGGGCGAGGCAGUGAGACUUCCACCGCCCGCUCCCAGCCUCUGCCUCCCCCACCCUCCCGGCUCCCUCCCGGCCUAGGCGGCCGCCCGACACCUCACUUACCCUCGGAGCCUGGCGGGUGCUUUGGCCACGGGCCGCCUCCGCCUCUCCCGCUCCCUACGGCCCGCGGGCGGGCGCGGAACCCUCGCGCGGGAGAGCAGGGCCGGCAGGUGAGAGCCGAGAGAGGCGAGGGACUCUGCUUUCGGUAAAUAGGAAGCCCGGUUGGGGGGGCAGGAGCGGCGGCCCCGCAACUUCCCUCCCCGCCUCGAGCGCCGCCGGCCGGGCCCAGGCCUAGCUCUCGCUGGCCGCCACUGCUGGAGCUGGUAACAGAGCCUGCUGUGUGCCCCCGCUGGGCCGCCGCCGCCUCCUGCGCCGCCGCUUCCGCCGGUGAAUGGUCAGUGCUGGAGUUUGAACAGGGCCCUGAACCAUCUCAACGCCAUUUGCGCUCCCGGCCCCCACCUCCUUCCUCCAACAGCCGCUCGCUCCGUCACUCCGCUUCCCACAGUCCCCGCGCGGCCGCCCGACCCCGCAGCCAAUCGCGCAGCCGCUUACUCAAACCGCCGCGCAGGCGCUGCGCCCCGCAUGCUCCGGCGCCCGCCAUUGGCCCGGCCGCGGAGCCCGACGGGAGUUGUAGUCCAGGUCCGCGAGGUCGCGGGCCGAGGACCAGGCGCGGGAGCGGGAGCGGGCGACUGGCCGGGCCCUCCCGGUCUCGGCAGCCACUUCUAGCUCCCGGCCCAGCCGGGAGACGCAGGUGCCACGGAGAUGGGCAGCCGGGCGGGUGGCGCAGUGCAGGCAGCUGUAUCAAUCGCUUCCCCUCCAGGGACCCGCCGGUGCCUGGGGACCGCGGGCUGUGCAGCUGUGCCGGGCCUGCGGAGGCCGCCGCCCGGGAGCUGGGAGGCAGGGGGCGCGUGGUCAAGAGCCGCCCUCGACCUGGCCUGGUCGGUCCUGGCCCGGCGUAGGUGACGAUGGCGGGGACCGCGAGGCGCCGGACACCCGAGGCCACGAGCAGCGUCGCCCCUCGCUUUUUCGCGCCCCUCCAGCCCUGCAGUCCUUCCUCUAAGUCCGUCUGCCCCUCACCGAUUGAAAGUGGCCCCGAGAAUAUUGGAUGGUAUUGAGCAAUUAUCAUUAACUUUGUUGGGUGUGGUAACGGUAAUGUGGUUAUGGUUUUUUGUUUUUUUUUUUUUAAGACCUACUGAUGUGUUGACAGAGUGAUCUGGUGUCAGGACUGUAAAAUACGCCUAUGAAAACUGGGGGAGAGGAAUAAAACAAGCUGGCA
RNAcentral lists this long non-coding RNA (1489 nucleotides) under Homo sapiens (human). RNAcentral describes it as "HSALNT0358984". Lineage: Eukaryota; Metazoa; Chordata; Mammalia; Primates; Hominidae. The record is from RNAcentral.